CCUACGGGAGGCAGCAGUGAGGAAUAUUGGUCAAUGGCCGUAAGGCUGAACCAGCCAAGUCGCGUGAAGGAAGAAGGAUCUAUGAUUUGUAAACUUCUUUUAUAGGGGAAUAAAGGUAUCCACGUGUGGAUAUUUGCAUGUACCCUAUGAAUAAGCAUCGGCUAACUCCGUGCCAGCAGCCGCGGUACUACGGAGGAGGCGAGCGUUAUCCGGAUUUAUUGGGUUUAAAGGGUGCGUAGGUUGUUUUUUAAGUCAGCGGUGAAAGUUUGUGGCUCAACCAUAAAAUUGCCGUUGAAACUGGAAGACGUGAGUGUGUUUGAGGUAGGCGGAAUGCGUGGUGUAGCGGUGAAAUGCAUAGAUAUCACGCAGAACUCCGAUUGCGAAGGCAGCUUACUAAGACAUAACUGACACUGAAGCACGAAAGCGUGGGGAUCAAACAGGAUUAGAUACCCCAGUAGUC
This 460-nucleotide ribosomal RNA is filed under the name uncultured bacterium. Its description in RNAcentral is "partial 16S ribosomal RNA". It matches the Rfam family "Bacterial small subunit ribosomal RNA", at positions 338 to 795 of the family's 1533-position model. The record is from RNAcentral.